RNAcentral lists this small RNA (78 nucleotides) under Flavobacterium defluvii. Its description in RNAcentral is "Flavo-1 RNA". It matches the Rfam family "Flavo-1 RNA". The record is from RNAcentral. Lineage: Bacteria; Pseudomonadati; Bacteroidota; Flavobacteriia; Flavobacteriales; Flavobacteriaceae.
CCCUAGCCCUGAUAGAAGCGGCAUCCUUUUUGUUUUUUCUUUAAAAACAAAAAGAUAUAGCGGAUAGCAGGAAAUAGC